This 253-nucleotide ribosomal RNA is filed under the name uncultured bacterium. Its description in RNAcentral is "partial 16S ribosomal RNA". It matches the Rfam family "Bacterial small subunit ribosomal RNA", at positions 524 to 776 of the family's 1533-position model. The record is from RNAcentral.
UACGUAGGGUCCGAGCGUUGUCCGGAAUUACUGGGCGUAAAGGGUGCGCAGGCGGCUCUGCAAGUCGGGUGUGAAAUCCCCGAGCUUAACUUGGGAAUUGCGCUCGAAACUAUGGAGCUGGAGUGUGGCAGAGGAAGGUGGAAUUCCACGUGUAGCGGUGAAAUGCGUAGAGAUGUGGAGGAACACCGAUGGCGAAGGCAGCCUUCUGGGCCAACACUGACGCUCAUGCACGAAAGCGUGGGGAGCAAACAGG